Molecule: ribosomal RNA, 694 nt
Filed under: uncultured archaeon
Lineage: Archaea
Description: bacterial SSU rRNA
Rfam family: Archaeal small subunit ribosomal RNA
Source: RNAcentral
UCUGGACUCGCCGAACUGCUCAGUAACACGUAGCUAACCUGCCCUAAAGAGGAGGAUAAUCCUGGGAAACUGGGGAUAAUACUCCAUAGUUGUCUGGUACUGGAAUGUCCUUACAACCAAAGCUUCGGCGCUUUAGGAUGGGGUUGCGGCCUAUCAUGGCAGUUGUGAGUGUAAAGUACUCACAAACCUGUAACGGGUAAGGGUCAUGAAAGUGAGAGCCCUGAGAUGUUUUCUGAGACAUGAAAACAGGUCCUACGGGACGCAGCAAGCGCGAAACCUUUCCAAUGGCUUAGCGGUCGAGAAGGGAAUCCUGAGUGACCAUACUUAGUAUGGUCUUUUGUCUUGUGUAAAAAGCAAGACGAAUAAGUGGUGGGUAAGACGGGUGGCAGCCGCCGCGGUAAUACCCGCGCCACGAGUGGUGACCACUUUUAUUUGGUUUAAAGCGUCCGUAGCCGGUUUAGCAAGUUCUUGGUGAAAUUCAGCAGUUGACUGUUGAGCGUGCUGAGAGUACUACUAGACUUGGGAUUGGGAGAGGGUAGGGGUAUUCCAUGUGUAGGGGUUAAAUCCUUUAAUCCAUGGAGGACCACCGGUGGCGAAGGCGCCUACCUGGAACAAGUCCGACGGUGAGGGACGAAAGCGUGGGGAGCAAAUGGGAUUAGAUACCCGAGUAGUCCCAGCCGUAAACGAUGCAGGC